GCGGAGGUUUAGCUCAGUGGUUACUUCUCAUACUUAGCAGUUAUCCACUCCAUGAGCCAUGGGCUCCGGGGUUCAAACCACGGGCGCUGUCCUCUGCUUUU
This 101-nucleotide vault RNA is filed under the name Neogobius melanostomus (round goby). RNAcentral's name for it is "Vault RNA (ENSNMLG00000004497.1)". It matches the Rfam family "Vault RNA". From Rfam's summary of the family: This family of RNAs are found as part of the enigmatic vault ribonucleoprotein complex. The complex consists of a major vault protein (MVP), two minor vault proteins (VPARP and TEP1), and several small untranslated RNA molecules. The record is from Rfam by way of RNAcentral. Lineage: Eukaryota; Metazoa; Chordata; Actinopteri; Gobiiformes; Gobiidae.